ACGUAGGGUGCGAGCGUUAAUCGGAAUUACUGGGCGUAAAGCGUGCGCAGGCGGUUUUGUAAGCCAGAUGUGAAAUCCCCGGGCUCAACCUGGGAAUGGCAUUUGGGACUGCAAGGCUGGAGUGUGGCAGAGGGGACUAGAAUUCCUGGUGUAGCAGUGAAAUGCGUAGAUAUCAGGAGGAAUACCGAUGGCGAAGGCAGGUCCCUGGGUUAACACUGACGCUCAUGCACGAAAGCGUGGGGAGCAAACAG
RNAcentral lists this ribosomal RNA (251 nucleotides) under uncultured prokaryote. Its description in RNAcentral is "partial 16S ribosomal RNA". It matches the Rfam family "Bacterial small subunit ribosomal RNA", at positions 525 to 775 of the family's 1533-position model. The record is from RNAcentral.